AUUGUGGUCUACGCGUUCGUGCGUGUGUUCUGGUCGCGGGCAAAGGUYUCUUGGAAUAGUUCAGCACAGAGGGUGACACUCCUGUAUUUGAUCCCCGACCGGUUCACGUUGUCGCGUUUCGUUCGAGUCGAGUUGUUUGGGAAUACAGCUCCAAGUUGGUGGUAAACUCCAUCGAAAGCUAAAUAUGAGUGGUAAACCAAUAGCAAACAAGUACCGUGAGGGAAAG
Molecule: ribosomal RNA, 226 nt
Filed under: Melosira nummuloides
Lineage: Eukaryota; Bacillariophyta; Melosirophyceae; Melosirales; Melosiraceae
Description: partial ribosomal RNA large subunit
Rfam family: Eukaryotic large subunit ribosomal RNA
Source: RNAcentral